GAGUUUGAUCUUGGCUCAGAUUGAACGCUGGCGGCAGGCUUAACACAUGCAAGUCGAGCGGGGGAGAUUGCUUCGGUAAUUGACCUAGCGGCGGACGGGUGAGUAAUACUUAGGAAUCUGCCUAUUAAUGGGGGACAACAUCUCGAAAGGGAUGCUAAUACCGCAUACGCCCUACGGGGAAAGCAGGGGAUCACUUGUGACCUUGCGUUAAUAGAUGAGCCUAAGUCGGAUUAGCUAGUUGGUGGGGUAAAGGCCUACCAAGGCGACGAUCUGUAGCGGGUCUGAGAGGAUGAUCCGCCACACUGGGACUGAGACACGGCCCAGACUCCUACGGGAGGCAGCAGUGGGGAAUAUUGGACAAUGGGGGGAACCCUGAUCCAGCCAUGCCGCGUGUGUGAAGAAGGCCUUAUGGUUGUAAAGCACUUUAAGCGAGGAGGAGGCUCCUGUAGUUAAUACCUACAGAGAGUGGACGUUACUCGCAGAAUAAGCACCGGCUAACUCUGUGGCAGCCG
Molecule: ribosomal RNA, 512 nt
Filed under: uncultured microorganism
Description: bacterial SSU rRNA
Rfam family: Bacterial small subunit ribosomal RNA
Source: RNAcentral